GCAAAAAGCCUUUGCGUUUCAUUGUAUUGAAAAGAAGGGGGGGGGGGGUUACAUCCUCCUAAGAGGCUAUUACAGCAUCGUUACAAGAGGAUUAGUGAACAUCCCAGGAUGUGGCAAGUGUUAUGACCGGUACAACGUACCAACGGAGGAGGCCCAAUGGGCAGGGUUAAUUACGGGCUUAGCCCAAGUUAUCUUACCUAUCUUAGAGUCCAAGUUAUAUUAGAGUCCAAGUUAUCUAGGGUUUAGUGGAGGUUGUCCUCCUAUAUAAACACAUGUACCCCUUCGAUAUUAAGCAGACAAUAAACAGUAUAUUCUGUUGUCGUCUCCCUUAGGAGACGAGAGCCCCAAACCCUAGCCGCCUCUCUCUCUCUCUCUCACGCCGCGACGGCGCCCAACCGCCGGCGCCGGCGUCCCCAACCUUGCAGCCCGCACUUCCACCCCUACAACCUACGUCCGAGACCUGGUAGAACCCUAGCCUCUACCAAUUUGGUAUCAGGUAGCUUGGGUUCGAUGAGUUUGUCGGACCUUCCCACCACCCCCGCCACCUCGCAGCAGCCGCCGCCGCCGGCCGCCUCCGGUCCCGCGGCCCUGGCGGCCGAACCCGCCCCCGUCCUCUCCCCGGCGGCGAUGUCCUCGGCGAUCCGCGACCCCAACCUGGCGGUCUCGAACCUCCGGACUUUCCUCCAGGCUCCGUACGCAACCCCGCCACCACCGCCUCCGCCGGCGGCGCCCUUCGCGCCACCGCCCCCGGCCACUGUCGCGCCCCAGGGCCUGCCGAUCACCCAGGUCCGGUGGCCGCCGUCGCCGUCCCCGCUACCGACGUGGAUUUUCACGCCGACCUACACGACGGCGCCACUACAGCCGACGGUGUUGCAGCCACCCGCCCCCACCUUCGGGGGGUUCGGCAGGUACACUGAUCCGUACCCCGGGAGCUCCGUGGUGUCGCAGCACUCGCCUUCCGCCGCGCUGGGUCGUCACGAGGGCACCUACGCGGCCUCGCCACACGUGCAACAGCCACCCCGCUUCACCAAGCUGGAGUUCGCCACCUACGACGGCACCGUCGACCCCCUGAACUGGCUCAAUCAGUGCGACCAGUUUUUUAGGGGGCAGCGGACCAUGGCGUCCGACCGCACGUGGAUCGCCUCCUACCACCUCCGUGGCGCCGCCCAGACUUGGUACUACGCCCUCGAGCAGGACGAGGGCGGGAUGCCUCCGUGGGAGCGCUUUCGCGACCUGUGUCUCCUCCGGUUCGGCCCCCCAUACGUGGGAGCCGCUUGGCCGAGCUCGGUCGCCUUCCCUUCACCACCUCGGUGCAGGACUUCGCUGACCGCUUCCAGACGUUGGCCUACCAUGCGCCUGACGUCACGGCUCGCCAACGCGCCGAGCUCUUCGUCGGAGGCCUUCCCGACCACAUCCGCAUCGACGUCGAGAUGCGCGACCCCCAGGACCUGCAGACGGCCAUGUAUUACGCACGCGCGUACGAGCAGCGCGCCAACGCCCUGCAGCAGGCGUUCCCGGGCCGCGGCACGCGUCCCCCGACCCGCCCUGCCCCGGCGGCCGCCCCCCCGACAUGCCCCGCCCUGCCGGCCGCUACUGCGGCUGCCCCCGCGCCGACACGCACCUUCCGGCGCUUGACGUCGGCCGAGCAGCUCGAGCGGCGCCGCAAGGGCCUGUGCUUCAACUGCGACGAGCCGUAUGCGCCGGGUCAUACGUGCGCCCGCCUGUUCUACUUGGAGACCGUCGACGACGCGGAGGUGGAGGCCCUCAUCGCGGAGCUCGACGCCACCACAGUCUCCGAGGCCGGCGUCACGACCUACGGGCCGGUCGACGCGACCGCCUUCGUCGUCUCCCUUCAUGCCAUGGCUGGCAUCAAGACGGCAAAGACGAUGCUGCUUCCGAUGACGAUCAACGGGGAGCGUCUCACCGCGCUCGUGGACACGGGUUCGACGCACAACUUCCUGUCCGAGUUCAGCGUCACCGCCGCCAACGGGGACCGCCUUGCUUGCCAGGGGGUGGCGCGGCAGGUUCCGUCCUCAUCGGCGACGAGACGUUCUCCAUCGACUGCGUCGGCAUCGACCUGGGCUGCUACGACUUCAUCCUCGGCAUCGACUUCCUGUCCAUUCUCGGCCCCAUCCUUUGGGACCUCGAUGUGCUGUCCCUCAUCUUCUGGCGCGAGGGCGUCCGUCGCGUUCAGUGGACAGGCAUCGGCGGCUCCGGCGUCGUGACUCCACAGCUCCAGUUGAUGGCGGCCGCACUAGACGAGGCGCAUCCCCUCCUGGCCGACCUCCUGCAGCAGCACAGCGACAUCUUUGACGAGCCACAGGGCCUCCCUCCCGCGCGGCCCUGUGACCACCGCAUCCACCUGCUGCCGGACACGGCACCUGUAGCCGUGCGUUCGUACCGGUACCCUCAGCUGCAGAAAGACGAGCUCGAGCGUUAGGUGGCGGUCAUGCUCGCGCAGGGCAUCAUCCGGAUUUCGACAUCGUCGUUCUCCGCCCCGGUGCUCCUUGUGCGCAAGCCCGACGGCACAUGGCGCUUCUGCAUCGACUACCGCGCCCUCAACGCCCUGACGUCCAAGGACAAGUUCCCCAUCCCCGUCGUGGAUGAGCUCUUGGACGAGCUACACGGAGCGCGCUUCUUCACCAAGCUCGACCUUCGCUCGGGCUACCAUCAGGUGCGCAUGCACCCUGACGACAUCGAGAAGACGGCGUUCCGCACUCACCAUGGCCACUUCGAGUUCCUGGUGAUGCCGUUCGGCCUCUCCAACGCGCCAGCGACCUUCCAGGCCCUGAUGAACGACGUGCUCAGCCCAUACUUGCGCCGCUUUGUGCUUGUUUUCUUUGAUGACAUUCUCAUCUAUAGUGCAUCUUGGGCGGAGCACCUACAACACGUGGCCAUCAUCUUCAACGAGCUUCGAGCGCAUCGUCUUCACCUCAAGCGCUCGAAGUGCUCGUUCGGCACGACCUCCGUCGCGUACCUGGGGCACGUCAUCUCGGCGGACGGGGUAGCGAUGGACGCGGACAAGGUCGCCGCCGUCGCCGCGUGGCCGAUCCCGCGGUCACUGCGGGCGCUCCGCGGCUUCUUGGGCCUCGCCGGCUACUACCGGAAGUACAUCCGGGACUUCGGCCUCAUCGCCGCGCCACUGACGCGUCUCCUUCGACGCGACGCCUUCUCCUGGGACGAGGAGGCGACUACGGCAUUCGAGGUUCUCCAGCGGGCGCUCACGACGGGACCCGUCCUCCAGAUGCCGGACUUUGAUAUGCCGUUCAUGGUGGACUGCAACGCCUCUGGCAUCGGCUUCGACGCCGUCCUCACCAGGGUGAGGGAUCGCUCGCCUUCUUCAGCCGCCCCUUCGCCGCUCGCCAUCACAAGCUCGCGGCCUACGAGCGCGAGCUUAUUGGGCUGGUUCAGUUGGUGCGCCACUGGCGGCCUUAUCUUUGGGGCCGGUCAUUCCGUGUGCGCACGGACCACUACAGCCUCAAGUUCUUGCUGGACCAGCGCCUCUCCACAGUUCCGCAACACUAGUGGAUCAGCAAGCUCUUUGGCUUCGACUUCACCGUUGAGUACCGCCCCGGCCGUCUCAACACGGUCGCCGACGCCUUGUCCCGCCGCGACACUGAGGAUGUCGCGGACGACGUCGCCAUGGCUGGCACUAUCAUGUGCAUUCGCUCCGGGCCAUCUUUCGCCUUCAUCGACGACAUUCGUCGGGCAACUUCGACGGCCGUGGACGCCCAGGGCCUGCGCCAGCGCCUUGACGCUGGCGAGCUGGACGCGCCCUGGCGCUUGGACGAGGGGCUGCUCCUACAUGGCCGCCGCAUCUUCGUGCCCGACCAUGGCGACCUGCGCCACCAGGUCCUGACCUUGGCGCACUCUGCAGGGCACGAGGGCGUGCAGAAGACUCUCCAUCGUCUCCGUGUUGAUUUUUACAUCCCCGGUGAUGGCGCGAUGGUCCGCGACUAGGUGCGGUCGUGCGUGACGUACCAGCGGAACAAGACGGAGACACUACGACCCGCGGGUCUACUGCAGCCGCUGGACGUACCCUCCCAGGUGUGGGCGGAUAUUUCCAUGGACUUCAUCGAGGGCCUUCCCAAGGUGGGCGGCAAGUCCGUCAUCCUCACAGUGGUUGACCGCUUCUCCAAGUACGCGCACUUCAUCGCCCUGGGUCAUCCAUAUACAGCCGCCUCCGUGGCGCGGGCCUUCUUCGACGGCAUCGUCCGCCUCCACGGUUUUCCGUCGUCCAUCGUCAGCGAUCGUGAUCCCGUGUUCACGGGACAUGUCUGGCGGGAUCUCUUUCGACUGGCGGGUGUGAAGCUCCGCAUGAGCACGGCGUUCCACCCUCAGACAGACGGCCAAUCCGAGGUGGUCAACAAGGUGAUCGCCAUGUACCUGCGCUGUGUUACUGGUGAUCGUCCACGAGCUUGGGUGGACUGGUUGGCGUGGGCGGAGUACUGCUACAACACCUCCUAUCACUCCGCCCUGCGCACCACGCCUUUCGAGGUGGUCUACGGGCGCCCACCUCCGGCGAUGCUCCCUUACGAGCCUGGGACGGCUCGGUCCGAGACGGCGGGCGACUUACUCCGCACCCGCGACGACAUUCUGGAUGAGGCACGCCAGCGUCUUCUCCAAGCACAGCAGCUGGCUCGGAAGUACUACGAUGCUCAUCAUCGCGAGGCGGAGUUCGCGAUGGGCGAUUGGGUGUGGCUGCGCCUCCUCCACAGGACCACGCAGUCUCUGGACCCGCGCUCCAAGCGCAAAUUGGGACCUUGCUACGCCAGUCCCUUUCGUGUGCUGGAGUGUGUCGGCACACUCGCAUACCGCUUGGAGCUGCCAGCUGGUUCUCGCCUCCACGACGUCUUCCAUGUCGGCUUACUGAAGGCCUACCGCGGGGACCCUCCUGUAGCGACGCCGGCCCUUCCUCCUACUUCGGAUGGCCGCCUCCUUCCAGCUUCCGCACAGGUGGCGAAGGUGCUGCAGGCGCAGCAGCGUCACGGCGUCUGGCAUGUCUUGGUACAGUGUACCGGCCUGCCAGAGGAGGAAGCGACUUGGGAGAAGCUCGACGAUUUCCGCCAGCAGUUUCCAGAUGUUCAGCUCGAGGACGAGCUGUUUGAGAAGGCGGGGAGAGAUGUUAUGACCGGUACAACGUACCAAUGGAGGAGGCCCAAUGGGCAGGGUUAAUUACGGGCUUAGCCCAAGUUAUCUUACCUAUCUUAGAGUCCAAGUUAUAUUAGAGUCCAAGUUAUCUAGGGUUUAGUGGAGGUUGUCCUCCUAUAUAAACACAUGUACCCCUUCGAUAUUAAGCAGACAAUAAACAGUAUAUUCUGUUGUCGUCUCCCUUAGGAGACGAGAGCCCCAAACCCUAGCCGCCUCUCUCUCUCUCUCUCACGCCGCGACGGCGCCCAACCGCCGGCGCCGGCGUCCCCAACCUUGCAGCCCGCACUUCCACCCCUACAACCUACGUCCGAGACCUGGUAGAACCCUAGCCUCUACCAACUACAACAUCUUUACUUCAGGAAACAACUAACAUGAAUAAGUUCCCAAAAAAGUUCUACAUGCAAUCCUCAAUUUACUUCACUGAUGUAUGAUAAGAGCUCAAAUUCAGUUUAUGGUGAUAGUAAAAAAAAGUAAAAUUUAAGAAAUAAUAAUUCAGUAUAAAAAGGUUAAAUGUGAUUAUUCACUGUAUUUUUUCCAAGACAUUUUGAUUUUGAGAAUGAAAUUUCAGUGGUUUUCAUCAGAAAAUAACCUUGGAAUUUCGGACGCAAAGUUUUUGAGCCUGAGCUCAAAUGAGCUCGGGUGAACAGUAAAAUCGAAAAAAAUGCAAAAUAAAUUCAAAAAUAUCUGAAUUUUAUUUGUGAUAAACAUUGACAGAAUUUUUAAGUGCUUG
This 5881-nucleotide long non-coding RNA is filed under the name Hordeum vulgare. RNAcentral's name for it is "long non-coding RNA (HVUL_LNC014862)". The record is from RNAcentral. Lineage: Eukaryota; Viridiplantae; Streptophyta; Magnoliopsida; Poales; Poaceae.